This 418-nucleotide ribosomal RNA is filed under the name uncultured bacterium. RNAcentral describes it as "bacterial SSU rRNA". It matches the Rfam family "Bacterial small subunit ribosomal RNA", at positions 361 to 771 of the family's 1533-position model. The record is from RNAcentral.
AUAUUGGACAAUGGGGGCAACCCUGAUCCAGCCAUGCCGCGUGUGUGAAGAAGGCCUUCGGGUUGUAAAGCACUUUAGGUCGGGAGGAAAGUUCGCUGGCUAAUAUCCAGCGGAAUUGACGUUACCGCCAGAAUAAGCCACGGCUAACUACGUGCCAGCAGCCGCGGUAAUACGUAGGUGGCAAGCGUUGUCCGGAUUCAUUGGGUUUAAAGGGUGCGUAGGCGGCUAAUUAAGUCAGUGCUGAAAUAUCACAGCUUAACUGUGAGGGUGGCAUGGAUACUGGAUAGCUUGAGUACAGACGAGGUAGGCGGAAUUGACGGUGUAGCGGUGAAAUGCAUAGAUAUCGUCAAGAACACCGAUAGUGUAGACAGCUUACUAGACUGUAACUGACGCUGAGGCACGAAAGUGUGGGGAUCAA